This is a long non-coding RNA of Cyprinodon tularosa, 388 nucleotides long. RefSeq lists it as uncharacterized. The transcript is spliced from 3 exons. Lineage: Eukaryota; Metazoa; Chordata; Actinopteri; Cyprinodontiformes; Cyprinodontidae. The record is from RefSeq and is a predicted model, not a curated record.
UGUGCUGUGAGAGUAAGAGAAGCAGGAGAGGUUUAAGGGCAGCACACUGUUAACUUACAGCAACAGUGAGUCUCAUCUGUCGUGCUAGACGUAGGUUGCGUAUGUGGUUCUCUCAAUGACAGGAGGGCAAAGGUGAACCAAAAUGCAAAGCCACAGCAAGACGUGAAACAUGGCAGGUGUCUGAUUUGAUCCUUCUACCACCUGAGGGCAACACACUUCAGCUGUAUGACAGUGUGUGAAAACGGGUGCCAUUGGCUCGCUGGUUGAGUACAAAGAUCAGACAGGAAACCCAGGAGGAACAUGGAAAUUGAAAAAUCAUUGGCACUGCGCUGCCGUCGGAGUAAAUGAUCCUGUGCUUUGGCAAGAGGGGGAGGGGAAAAUCUUAUCU